UGGGGAAUAUUGGACAAUGGGCGGAAGCCUGAUCCAGCCAUGCCGCGUGUGUGAAGAAGGCCUUUUGGUUGUAAAGCACUUUAAGCGAGGAGGAGGCUACUUGGAUUAAUACUCUAGGAUAGUGGACGUUACUCGCAGAAUAAGCACCGGCUAACUCUGUGCCAGCAGCCGCGGUAAUACAGAGGGUGCGAGCGUUAAUCGGAUUUACUGGGCGUAAAGCGUGCGUAGGCGGCUUCUUAAGUCGGAUGUGAAAUCCCUGAGCUUAACUUAGGAAUUGCAUUCGAUACUGGGAAGCUAGAGUAUGGGAGAGGAUGGUAGAAUUCCAGGUGUAACGGUGAAAUGCGUAGAGAUCUGGAGGAAUACCGAUGGCGAAGGCAGCCAUCUGGCCUAAUACUGACGCUGAGGUACGAAAGCAUGGGGAGCAAACAGG
RNAcentral lists this ribosomal RNA (430 nucleotides) under Bacillota bacterium. Its description in RNAcentral is "Firmicutes bacterium partial 16S ribosomal RNA". It matches the Rfam family "Bacterial small subunit ribosomal RNA", at positions 355 to 776 of the family's 1533-position model. The record is from RNAcentral. Lineage: Bacteria; Bacillati; Bacillota.